This 500-nucleotide ribosomal RNA is filed under the name uncultured bacterium. RNAcentral describes it as "partial 16S ribosomal RNA". It matches the Rfam family "Bacterial small subunit ribosomal RNA", at positions 29 to 523 of the family's 1533-position model. The record is from RNAcentral.
AUUGAACGCUGGCGGCAUGCCUUACACAUGCAAGUCGAACGGCAGCACGGGAGCAAUCCUGGUGGCGAGUGGCGAACGGGUGAGUAACAUAUCGGAACGUGCCCAGUCGUGGGGGAUCACGACGCGAAAGCUGUUAUAAUAUCGCAUCCCAUCGAUGGAUGAAAGCGGGGGUUGGCAAGACCUCCUCGGAGUGGAGGUGCCGAUAUACGAUUAGCUAGGUGGGGAGGUAAAGGCUUAGCAAGGCGAGGAUCUGUAGGUGGGAUGAGAGGACGGCACGACAGACUGGAACAGAGACACGGUCCAGACUCCUAGGGGAGGCAGCAGUGGGGAAUUUUGGACAAUGGGCGCAAGCCUGAUCCAGCAAUGCCGCGUGCAGGAUGAAGGCCUUCGGGUUGUAAACUGCUUUUGUACGGAACGAAACGGUCAUUCCUAAUACGAGAGGCUAAUGACGGUACCGUAAGAAUAAGCACCGGCUAACUACGUGCCAGCAGCCGCCGUAA